CCUACGGGCGGCAGCAGUAGGGAAUAUUGCUCAAUGGGGGAAACCCUGAAGCAGCAACGCCGCGUGGAGGAUGAAGGUUUUCGGAUUGUAAACUCCUUUUGUUAGAGAAGAUAAUGACGGUAUCUAACGAAUAAGCACCGGCUAACUCCGUGCCAGCAGCCGCGGUAAUACGGAGGGUGCAAGCGUUACUCGGAAUCAAUGGGCGUAAAGGGCGCGUAGGCGGGAUAGCAAGUCAGAUGUGAAAUCCUAUGGCUUAACCAUAGAACUGCAUUUGAAACUGUUAUUCUAGAGUAUGGGAGAGGUAGGUGGAAUUCUUGGUGUAGGGGUAAAAUCCGUAGAGAUAAAGAGGAAUACUCAUUGCGAAGGCGACCUGCUAGAACAUAACUGACGCUGAUGCGCGAAAGCGUGGGGAGCAAACAGGAUUAGAUACCCCGGUAGUC
RNAcentral lists this ribosomal RNA (440 nucleotides) under uncultured bacterium. Its description in RNAcentral is "partial 16S ribosomal RNA". It matches the Rfam family "Bacterial small subunit ribosomal RNA", at positions 338 to 795 of the family's 1533-position model. The record is from RNAcentral.